GCGGACGUAGUUCAGUGGUAGAACGCUAGCUUCCCAAGCUGGAUGUCGUGAGUUCGAGUCUCAUCGUCCGCUCCA
RNAcentral lists this transfer RNA (75 nucleotides) under Candidatus Melainabacteria bacterium. RNAcentral describes it as "tRNA-Gly". It matches the Rfam family "tRNA". From Rfam's summary of the family: Transfer RNA (tRNA) molecules are approximately 80 nucleotides in length. Their secondary structure includes four short double-helical elements and three loops (D, anti-codon, and T loops). Lineage: Bacteria; Bacillati; Candidatus Melainabacteria. RNAcentral also lists the same sequence under 1 other name. The record is from RNAcentral.